This 442-nucleotide ribosomal RNA is filed under the name Citrobacter freundii. Its description in RNAcentral is "bacterial SSU rRNA". It matches the Rfam family "Bacterial small subunit ribosomal RNA", at positions 1 to 439 of the family's 1533-position model. Lineage: Bacteria; Pseudomonadati; Pseudomonadota; Gammaproteobacteria; Enterobacterales; Enterobacteriaceae. The record is from RNAcentral.
AAAUUGAAGAGUUUGAUCAUGGCUCAGAUUGAACGCUGGCGGCAGGCCUAACACAUGCAAGUCGAACGGUAGCACAGAGGAGCUUGCUCCUUGGGUGACGAGUGGCGGACGGGUGAGUAAUGUCUGGGAAACUGCCCGAUGGAGGGGGAUAACUACUGGAAACGGUAGCUAAUACCGCAUAACGUCGCAAGACCAAAGAGGGGGACCUUCGGGCCUCUUGCCAUCGGAUGUGCCCAGAUGGGAUUAGCUAGUAGGUGGGGUAACGGCUCACCUAGGCGACGAUCCCUAGCUGGUCUGAGAGGAUGACCAGCCACACUGGAACUGAGACACGGUCCAGACUCCUACGGGAGGCAGCAGUGGGGAAUAUUGCACAAUGGGCGCAAGCCUGAUGCAGCCAUGCCGCGUGUAUGAAGAAGGCCUUCGGGUUGUAAAGUACUUUCAG